This is a ribosomal RNA of Oncorhynchus mykiss (rainbow trout), 119 nucleotides long. The record is from Ensembl. Lineage: Eukaryota; Metazoa; Chordata; Actinopteri; Salmoniformes; Salmonidae.
ACUUACGGCAACACCGGCCUGAGUACGCCUGAUCUCGUCCGAUCUCGGAAGCUAAGCAGGGUCGGGCCUGGUUAGUACUUGGAUGGGAGACAGCCUGGCAAUACCAGGUGCUGUAAGCU